This 472-nucleotide ribosomal RNA is filed under the name uncultured bacterium. Its description in RNAcentral is "SSU rRNA". It matches the Rfam family "Bacterial small subunit ribosomal RNA", at positions 26 to 518 of the family's 1533-position model. The record is from RNAcentral.
AGGACGAACGCUGGCGGCGUGCUUAACACAUGCAAGUCGAGCGGAAAGGCCCUUCGGGGUACUCGAGCGGCGAACGGGUGAGUAACACGUGAGCAACCUGCCCUUAGCUCCGGGAUAGCUCCGGGAAACCGGAAUUAAUACCGGAUACGACCACGGCCGACAUCUGCUGUGGUGGAAAGGAUUCCGGCUAAGGAUGGGCUCGCGGCCUAUCAGCUAGUUGGUGGAGUAACGGCCCACCAAGGCGACGACGGGUAGCCGGCCUGAGAGGGCGACCGGCCACACUGGGACUGAGACACGGCCCAGACUCCUACGGGAGGCAGCAGUGGGGAAUAUUGCGCAAUGGGCGAAAGCCUGACGCAGCGACGCCGCGUGGGGAUGAAGGCCUUCGGGUUGUAAACCCUUUCAGCAGGGACGAAGCGAAAGUGACGGUACCUGCAGAAGAAGCGCCGGCUAACUACGUGCCAGCAGCCGC